GACGAACGCUGGCGGCGUGCCUAAUACAUGCAAGUCGAACGAAGCUGUUUUAACUGGUGCUUGCACCGACUUAAACAACUGAGUGGCGAGCGGGUGAGUAACACGUGGGUAACCUGCCCCAAAGCGGGGGAUAACAUUUGGAAACAGAUGCUAAUACCGCAUAACCACAGAAACCACAUGGUUUCUGUGUCAAAGAUGGUUUCGGCUAUCACUUUGGGAUGGACCCGCGGCGUAUUAGCUAGUUGGUAAGGUAGUGGCUUACCAAGGCAAUGAUACGUAGCCGAACUGAGAGGUUGAUCGGCCACAUUGGGACUGAGACACGGCCCAAACUCCUACGGGAGGCAGCAGUAGGGAAUCUUCCACAAUGGACGAAAGUCUGAUGGAGCAACGCCGCGUGAGUGAAGAAGGUUUUCGGAUCGUAAAACUCUGUUGUCAGAGAAGAACGUGUGCGAGAGUAACUGUUCGUGCAGUGACGGUAUCUGGCCAGAAAGCCACGGCUAACUACGUGCCAGCCGCCGCGGUAA
RNAcentral lists this ribosomal RNA (524 nucleotides) under uncultured bacterium. RNAcentral's name for it is "partial 16S ribosomal RNA". It matches the Rfam family "Bacterial small subunit ribosomal RNA", at positions 28 to 523 of the family's 1533-position model. The record is from RNAcentral.